Molecule: ribosomal RNA, 425 nt
Filed under: uncultured bacterium
Lineage: Bacteria
Description: bacterial SSU rRNA
Rfam family: Bacterial small subunit ribosomal RNA
Source: RNAcentral
GUGGGGAAUAUUGGACAAUGGGCGAAAGCCUGAUCCAGCCAUGCCGCGUGAGUGAUGAAGGCCUUAGGGUUGUAAAGCUCUUUCAGUAGGGAAGAUAAUGACGGUACCUACAGAAGAAGCCCCGGCUAACUUCGUGCCAGCAGCCGCGGUAAUACGAAGGGGGCUAGCGUUGUUCGGAUUUACUGGGCGUAAAGCGCACGUAGGCGGAUUGGUCAGUUAGAGGUGAAAUCCUGGAGCUCAACUCCAGAACUGCCUUUAAUACUGCCAGUCUAGAGUCCAGAAGAGGUGAGUGGAACUCCUAGUGUAGAGGUGGAAUUCGUAGAUAUUAGGAAGAACACCAGUGGCGAAGGCGGCUCACUGGUCUGGUACUGACGCUGAGGUGCGAAAGCGUGGGGAGCAAACAGGAUUAGAUACCCGAGUAGUCC